CAGCCGUAAACUAUGCUCGCUAGGUGUCAGGCAUGGCGCGACCGUGUCUGGUGCCGCAGGGAAGCCGUGAGGCGAGCCACCUGGGAAGUACGGCCGCAAGGCUGAAACUUAAAGGAAUUGGCGGGGGAGCACAACAACGGGUGGAGCCUGCGGUUUAAUUGGACUCAACGCCGGACAACUCACCGGGGACGACAGCAAUAUGUAGGCCAGGCUGAAGACCUUGCCUGAAUCGCUGAGAGGAGGUGCAUGGCGUAGACGUCU
RNAcentral lists this ribosomal RNA (261 nucleotides) under uncultured archaeon. RNAcentral's name for it is "partial 16S ribosomal RNA". It matches the Rfam family "Archaeal small subunit ribosomal RNA", at positions 748 to 1009 of the family's 1478-position model. The record is from RNAcentral.